RNAcentral lists this ribosomal RNA (995 nucleotides) under uncultured organism. Its description in RNAcentral is "bacterial SSU rRNA". It matches the Rfam family "Bacterial small subunit ribosomal RNA", at positions 355 to 1375 of the family's 1533-position model. The record is from RNAcentral.
UGGGGAAUAUUGCACAAUGGGGGAAACCCUGAUGCAGCGACGCCGCGUGGAGGAAGAAGGUCUUCGGAUUGUAAACUCCUGUUGUUGAGGAAGAUAAUGACGGUACUCAACAAGGAAGUGACGGCUAACUACGUGCCAGCAGCCGCGGUAAAACGUAGGUCACAAGCGUUGUCCGGAAUUACUGGGUGUAAAGGGAGCGCAGGCGGGAAGACAAGUUGGAAGUGAAAUCUAUGGGCUCAACCCAUAAACUGCUUUCAAAACUGUUUUUCUUGAGUAGUGCAGAGGUAGGCGGAAUUCCCGGUGUAGCGGUGGAAUGCGUAGAUAUCGGGAGGAACACCAGUGGCGAAGGCGGCCUACUGGGCACCAACUGACGCUGAGGCUCGAAAGUGUGGGUAGCAAACAGGAUUAGAUACCCCGGUAGUCCACACCGUAAACGAUGAUUACUAGGUGUUGGAGGAUUGACCCCUUCAGUGCCGCAGUUAACACAAUAAGUAAUCCACCUGGGGAGUACGACCGCAAGGUUGAAACUCAAAGGAAUUGACGGGGGCCCGCACAAGCAGUGGAGUAUGUGGUUUAAUUCGACGCAACGCGAAGAACCUUACCAAGUCUUGACAUCCUGCGACGAUGCUGGAAACAGUAUUUUCCUUCGGGACACAGAGACAGGUGGUGCAUGGUUGUCGUCAGCUCGUGUCGUGAGAUGUUGGGUUAAGUCCCGCAACGAGCGCAACCCUUACUGUCAGUUACUACGCAAGAGGACUCUGGCAGGACUGCCGUUGACAAAACGGAGGAAGGUGGGGAUGACGUCAAAUCAUCAUGCCCUUUAUGACUUGGGCUACACACGUACUACAAUGGCGUUAAACAAAGAGAAGCAAGACCGCGAGGUGGAGCAAAACUCAGAAACAACGUCCCAGUUCGGACUGCAGGCUGCAACUCGCCUGCACGAAGUCGGAAUUGCUAGUAAUCGUGGAUCAGCAUGCCACGGUGAAUACGUUCCC